GCUACUUGUGUUCCUUCUUUUAAUGGAACUUAUAAGCACAAUCAAUCUCUUAACAAUCGUUCUUCUACUCUUCGUUGUUUCCAAGAUAUGGAAAGCUUGUUGGAUCCUCCUUUUGCGUCCAUUGAUGCUAUCAAAAAGAUUCAAGAAACAAGGAAUCUCAGGACCAAAGUACAAAAUCUUGUACGGAAACCUCAGCGAGAUAAAGAAGAUGAAGAAAGAAGCUGACCUUUGUGUUCUGGAUCCCAAUUCCAAUGAUAUUUUCCCUCGUGUGUUUCCUCAGUAUCACCAAUGGAUGUCUCAAUACGGUACCGUUUUCUAUCCAUCUUGUUUUUUUUUUCUUCUUUUCAUAGAUGAG
This 355-nucleotide long non-coding RNA is filed under the name Arabidopsis thaliana (thale cress). RNAcentral's name for it is "long non-coding RNA (ATHA_LNC000304)". The record is from RNAcentral. Lineage: Eukaryota; Viridiplantae; Streptophyta; Magnoliopsida; Brassicales; Brassicaceae.